CUGUGAUUCAUUAUUGCCCAGGAUACUUGGACCAUCCCAGAUGCCAAACCUCUAAGUCAAAAGCCAUGGGUGGGUUUGGAAAUCCAAGGAACCCAGGCCUUGUAAACUACCAGGGAGGUGGGGGCCAGGGCGCUGCCAUUCUGAAGCUGGGUGAAGGAAAUAAUGCCACGAGGGAGGUUGCCAGCCCUGAGGGGGUGAGUAAAGCCUGAAAUUUGAGGAAGGACUGGUGGAUACUAUUGUGACUGGGAAUUAAUUAGGACACUCCAAUCCUGGGCCACCUCAUUGCCUUGGGCAGGGCUCAGGGACCCUAUAAAAGAAGAGCAGGCUUAGAGCUUCCCAACUCAUCUAACUUCUUCUGCCCCAUCUUGCUGGUAAACUUGGCCACAGGACUCUCCCGGCAUGUCUCAGCAGCAGCAGCAACAGUGUUGCCCCCCCCAGCAGCAGUGCUGCCCCCCGCAGCAGCAAUGCUGCCCCCCGCAGCAGCAGACUAAGCAGCCCUGCCAACCUCCUCCUAAGUGUGCCCCUAAGUGUGCACCCCCUCCAUGCCAGCAGAAGUGUCCACCUGCCCAGAAGUGCCAGAAGUCCAAGCAGAAGUGAGCUCACCCCUUUCUCCUGCAGAGAAAACAGAGAGCAUCCCAUGCCCAAGACUUCACUACUCUUUCCCCUCUCCAGCCAGCCAACCACUCACCUGGCUCAGGCACUAGCAUGCCUGCUCCUCACUGCUGUUGUGUUUCUGAAAGCAGCGCCAAGGUGGAGGCUUCCUCAAUCUCCACCUGCUAUUACAGUGGUACAGGAUCCGCAACAAGAAUCUCGCUUGUUGGGAGCGUCUACUCAUCACCGCUGACAUGUAUCUACAUCUCGUUUGGCUUCUGGGAAUCCCUGGGCACUGUGCCUGCAUACUCUCUCCCAUCAUUCUGUUUUCUGAUCCAUUAAAAACAUAAUUGCUCUAGCACCAGCUUCUCUGCCUCCAGUUUUAUUUUAUAUUAUCCCAUGAUCCUUAAAGAUUAUUCACAU
RNAcentral lists this long non-coding RNA (1014 nucleotides) under Vombatus ursinus (common wombat). RNAcentral describes it as "lncRNA (ENSVURG00010011591.1)". The record is from RNAcentral. Lineage: Eukaryota; Metazoa; Chordata; Mammalia; Diprotodontia; Vombatidae.